This 252-nucleotide ribosomal RNA is filed under the name uncultured bacterium. RNAcentral describes it as "partial 16S ribosomal RNA". It matches the Rfam family "Bacterial small subunit ribosomal RNA", at positions 524 to 776 of the family's 1533-position model. The record is from RNAcentral.
UACGUAGGGUGCAAGCGUUAAUCGGAAUUACUGGGCGUAAAGCGUGCGCAGGCGGUUCGCUAAGACAGAUGUGAAAUCCCCGGGCUUAACCUGGGAACUGCAUUUGUGACUGGCGGGCUAGAGUAUGGCAGAGGGGGUAGGAAUUCCACGUGUAGCAGUGAAAUGCGUAGAGAUGUGGAGGAAUACCGAUGGCGAAGGCAGCCCCCUGGCCAAUACUGACGCUCAUGCACGAAAGCGUGGGGAGCAAACAGG